This 443-nucleotide ribosomal RNA is filed under the name uncultured bacterium. Its description in RNAcentral is "partial 16S ribosomal RNA". It matches the Rfam family "Bacterial small subunit ribosomal RNA", at positions 338 to 795 of the family's 1533-position model. The record is from RNAcentral.
CCUACGGGAGGCAGCAGUGGGGAAUAUUGGGCAAUGGGGGCAAGCCUGACCCAGCAACGCCGCGUGAAUGAAGAAGGCCCUCGGAUUGUAAACUUCUUUUAUUCGGGACGAACCAAAUGACGGUCCCGCAUUAACAAGCCACGGCUAACUACGUGCCCGCAGCCGCGGUAAUACGUAGGUGGCAAGCGUUAUCCGGAUUUACUGGGUGUAAAGGGCGUGUAGGCGGGUGAGUAAGUCAGCCGUGUAAUUCCAGGGCUCAACCCUGGAACUGCGUUGGAAACUGUUCGUCUUGAGUGAAGGAGGGGCAGGUGGAAUUCCGUGUGUAGCGGUGGAAUGCGUAGAUAUACGGAGGAACACCAGGGGCGAAGGCGACCUGCUGGACAGUAACUGACGCUGAGGCGCGAAAGCGUGGGGAGCAAACAGGAUUAGAUACCCUGGUAGUC